CUUACAUUGGCAGGAGCAUAGCAGAGAAUUUUUUUUCUAUGUACAGGACCAUUUGUAAUGGUUAACUUAACGAAACGGAAGCCAUUUUUACAGUAGUUGUUUUGAAUUCCACAUGCAAAUGUGUUGAUGAAGGUUUUGCACUGUUGAUUAAACCCCAUCUUCAAGCCUUUCAUUGAUUCUUUAUCGGUUUUAUUAAGGAGGGAGAAAUCUGAGCAAGACAAGACACAAAUGAAGAACGAAGAGCAAGCCCGGUCUCUGUUUGGGAUUUCUCUCACUGACAGACCCAGAUGGCAACAGUUCCUCAUUUGCUCUUCUGGUUUUUUCUUUGGGUACCUUGUCAAUGGCAUCUGUGAGGAAUAUGUAUACAACCGGCUCCAAUUUAGCUAUGGUUGGUACUUCACAUUUGUUCAAAUCUUUGUCUACAUUUUCCUGAUUUAUCUCCAAGGCUUUACCACCAAGCAAAUGGUGAACACAUGGAAUACUUAUUUCAAACUCUCUGCAGUUCUUAUGGGUUCCCAUGGACUCACAAAAGGGUCUUUAGCUUUUCUUAAUUACCCUGCACAGAUCAUGUUUAAAUCCACCAAGGUUCUGCCAGUGAUGGUGAUGGGGUCCUUUAUUCCAGGACUGAGGCGGAAAUAUCCAGCUCAUGAAUACUUAUCAGCACUACUUUUGGUUGUGGGGUUGAUCCUUUUCACCUUAGCAGAUG
RNAcentral lists this unclassified non-coding RNA (706 nucleotides) under Hevea brasiliensis (rubber tree). The record is from RNAcentral. Lineage: Eukaryota; Viridiplantae; Streptophyta; Magnoliopsida; Malpighiales; Euphorbiaceae.